This 2578-nucleotide ribosomal RNA is filed under the name Listeria monocytogenes. RNAcentral describes it as "partial 23S ribosomal RNA". It matches the Rfam family "Bacterial large subunit ribosomal RNA", at positions 349 to 2925 of the family's 2925-position model. Lineage: Bacteria; Bacillati; Bacillota; Bacilli; Caryophanales; Listeriaceae. The record is from RNAcentral.
GGCCCGCCAAAGACGGUAACAGCCCGGUAGUUGAAAUGGCUUUCCCUCCAGAGUGGAUCCUGAGUACGGCGGAACACGUGAAAUUCCGUCGGAAUCCGGGAGGACCAUCUCCCAAGGCUAAAUACUCCCUAGUGACCGAUAGUGAACCAGUACCGUGAGGGAAAGGUGAAAAGCACCCCGGAAGGGGAGUGAAACAGUUCCUGAAACCGUGUGCCUACAAGUAGUUAGAGCCCGUUAAUGGGUGAUAGCGUGCCUUUUGUAGAAUGAACCGGCGAGUUACGAUUUGUUGCAAGGUUAAGCGGAAAAAGCGGAGCCGUAGCGAAAGCGAGUCUGAAUAGGGCGCAUAAGUAACAGGUCGUAGACCCGAAACCAGGUGAUCUACCCAUGUCCAGGAUGAAGGUAAGGUAAUACUUACUGGAGGUCCGAACCCACGCACGUUGAAAAGUGCGGGGAUGAGGUGUGGGUAGCGGAGAAAUUCCAAUCGAACUUGGAGAUAGCUGGUUCUCUCCGAAAUAGCUUUAGGGCUAGCCUCGAGGUAAAGAGUCAUGGAGGUAGAGCACUGUUUGGACUAGGGGCCCUUCUCGGGUUACCGAAUUCAGAUAAACUCCGAAUGCCAUGUACUUAUACUCGGGAGUCAGACUGCGAGUGAUAAGAUCCGUAGUCGAAAGGGAAACAGCCCAGACCACCAGUUAAGGUCCCCAAAUAUAUGUUAAGUGGAAAAGGAUGUGGGGUUGCUUAGACAACCAGGAUGUUGGCUUAGAAGCAGCCACCAUUGAAAGAGUGCGUAAUAGCUCACUGGUCGAGUGACCCCGCGCCGAAAAUGUACCGGGGCUAAACAUAUUACCGAAACUGUGGAUGAACCUCUUUAGAGGUUCGUGGUAGGAGAGCGUUCUAAGGGCGGUGAAGUCAGACCGGAAGGACUGGUGGAGCGCUUAGAAGUGAGAAUGCCGGUAUGAGUAGCGAAAGAAGGGUGAGAAUCCCUUCCACCGAAUAUCUAAGGUUUCCUGAGGAAGGCUCGUCCGCUCAGGGUUAGUCGGGACCUAAGCCGAGGCCGAUAGGCGUAGGCGAUGGACAACAGGUAGAGAUUCCUGUACCAGUGCUAAUUGUUUAACCGAUGGGGUGACACAGAAGGAUAGGGAAUCGCACGAAUGGAAAUGUGCGUCCAAGCAGUGAGUGUGAGAAGUAGGCAAAUCCGCUUCUCGCGAAGCAUGAGCUGUGAUGGGGAAGGAAAUUAAGUACGGAAGUUCCUGAUUUCACGCUGUCAAGAAAAGCCUCUAGGAAGAGUAGUACUGCCCGUACCGCAAACCGACACAGGUAGAUGAGGAGAGAAUCCUAAGGUGAGCGAGAGAACUCUCGUUAAGGAACUCGGCAAAAUGACCCCGUAACUUCGGGAGAAGGGGUGCUCUAUUAGGGUGCAAGCCCGAGAGAGCCGCAGUGAAUAGGCCCAGGCGACUGUUUAGCAAAAACACAGGUCUCUGCAAAACCGUAAGGUGACGUAUAGGGGCUGACGCCUGCCCGGUGCUGGAAGGUUAAGAGGAGUGCUUAGCUUCGGCGAAGGUACGAAUUGAAGCCCCAGUAAACGGCGGCCGUAACUAUAACGGUCCUAAGGUAGCGAAAUUCCUUGUCGGGUAAGUUCCGACCCGCACGAAAGGCGCAACGAUCUGGGCACUGUCUCAACGAGAGACUCGGUGAAAUUAUAGUACCUGUGAAGAUGCAGGUUACCCGCGACAGGACGGAAAGACCCCGUGGAGCUUUACUGCAACCUGAUAUGGAAUGUUUGUACCGCUUGUACAGGAUAGGUAGGAGCCGAAGAGACGUGUGCGCUAGCAUACGAGGAGGCAAUGGUGGGAUACUACCCUGGCUGUAUGACCAUUCUAACCCGCCACGCUUAGCGCGUGGGGAGACAGUGUCAGGUGGGCAGUUUGACUGGGGCGGUCGCCUCCUAAAGAGUAACGGAGGCGCCCAAAGGUUCCCUCAGAAUGGAUGGAAAUCAUUCGCAGAGUGUAAAGGCACAAGGGAGCUUGACUGCGAGACUGACAAGUCGAGCAGGGACGAAAGUCGGGCUUAGUGAUCCGGUGGUUCCGCAUGGAAGGGCCAUCGCUCAACGGAUAAAAGCUACCCCGGGGAUAACAGGCUUAUCUCCCCCAAGAGUCCACAUCGACGGGGAGGUUUGGCACCUCGAUGUCGGCUCGUCGCAUCCUGGGGCUGUAGUCGGUCCCAAGGGUUGGGCUGUUCGCCCAUUAAAGCGGCACGCGAGCUGGGUUCAGAACGUCGUGAGACAGUUCGGUCCCUAUCCGUCGCGGGCGCAGGAAAUUUGAGAGGAGCUGUCCUUAGUACGAGAGGACCGGGAUGGACACACCGCUGGUGUACCAGUUGUUCCGCCAGGAGCAUCGCUGGGUAGCUAUGUGUGGCAGGGAUAAACGCUGAAAGCAUCUAAGCGUGAAGCCCCCCUCAAGAUGAGAUUUCCCAUUUCUUCGGAAAGUAAGAUCCCUGAAAGAUGAUCAGGUAGAUAGGUUUGGAGUGGAAGUGUAGCGAUACAUGGAGCGGACAAAUACUAAUCGAUCGAGGACUUAACCAA